AGCGAACGCUGGCGGCAGGCCUAACACAUGCAAGUCGAACGAACCUUUCGGGGUUAGUGGCGGACGGGUGAGUAACACGUGGGAACGUGCCUUUAGGUUCGGAAUAACUCAGGGAAACUUGUGCUAAUACCGAAUGUGCCCUUCGGGGGAAAGAUUAAUCGCCUUUAGAGCGGCCCGCGUCUGAUUAGCUAGUUGGUUGAGGUAAUGGCUCACCAAGGCGACGAUCAGUAGCUGGUCUGAGAGGAUGAUCAGCCACAUUGGGACUGAGACACGGCCCAAACUCUUAGGGAAGGGGGCAGGGGGAAUUCUGGCGCAAUGGGGAAAAGCCUGACGAACCUAGCCCGGGGAAAUAAGAAGGUUGUAAGGAUAAAAAAUUUUUUUCACCGGGGCCUAUAAGGAGGUACCCCGAAAAAGAGCCCCGGGCAAGGUUCGUC
This 434-nucleotide ribosomal RNA is filed under the name uncultured bacterium. Its description in RNAcentral is "partial 16S ribosomal RNA". It matches the Rfam family "Bacterial small subunit ribosomal RNA", at positions 29 to 507 of the family's 1533-position model. The record is from RNAcentral.